UGGGGCUGCUAAUGGGUAUGUGGGCGGGCUCACACUCCCUCCGCUCCAAGUUUGAUAAGAGAAGGGGCCUCUCUGCUCGUUGGAAAAAGUGCAUCUUCCUAUAGGAUGUUGGGUUGACACCCACAUCCGUUCACUGGCUAGGCCAUUGUGCAUAGACUGUCCACCUACCUAGGUUUAUUACAUAGCCCCCUUUUCAUUCACAAUGGCUUGCCCCAAGUCACGCCGCGAAGUAUGGGUAGGGCCAGUGAUAGGACCUGAACUGUUGGAGGACAACCUCCUUCCACGCCAAGGUAUCUCAACCUCCCAAGGACCCGAGAGACAAGCACAGAGUAAGGUCCUCCAACUUAGCACGUACGGGUCCCUCUCUCCCGCUCAGGACCUUCCACCAAUCGAGUGUACGACGAUCUACUUCUUGGUCUUGAGGACCAAUCGAUUGGUUUCCUUGCCAGGCGUUGCUGGGCGCUGUUUGGCUCUGGUUUGGGAAGUGUGGGGAGAAGGGAAACCCCCGCCGCGGAAAGCGUUUGAAGACGACUGGCGCCGGCGCAGAAGGUCCCGCACCCAGCAGCGCCUCGCUCAGCCUGGGCGGCGGCGUCUGCACAAGUUUGAAGCUGAAAUGAUUAACAGCUAGUUCCUUGUUAACUAGAGGCUGCACAUGGCUGCCACCAUCACCAAGCAUGCGUGGCAGAGAGGAGCGUACCUGAUUGUCCGGCCUGAGGAGGCAAGGAGGGAUGAGUUUCAGGAUUGCACUGCUUUGAAAGAAACACAGAUUUCAGGAGCACAUCAUGUUUGUUUUAGUGACAAGGCUGCACCUCCCCACUGAGCCAGCCUCUAGUAUAAACAGUCACAAGGAGCCAAGCCACACCUUCAACACUUUGCUUAGCAAUUUCUUCAGCCAAACAUCCUGUUUCAUCACUUGCAAGACCUACCUUCCACAAAACACUGGAACACAAACACAGUUCAGCCAAGUUCUUUGCUACUGUAUAACGAGAAUCGCCUUUGUGGACAUGAGCAUGUCCAAACCUGAAUUGUUAUAAGAGCUUCUCUGAGCCAAACUGACAACAUGCUGGGAAGAAACAUCUCAAUGCUCAGGAGAAAGACAGUUUUGCUGUUUCUUUUAUACAUUUAGAAAUAAGGAGGGAACAUAAGGAAGAUGACAUGGAGGUGGGAGAAAGCAAGGUAAGGUUAGUUAACAAGAUUAUGUGCUCCCUUGAAGGUGGUUACCCCUCUGUGGAGUCUGAAAAAAGAGGAUUACUUCUGGCAUUACAAAAGUGUGUUACCCUAGAUGCACAAAAUCAAUGGACAGGGCUUGCUUAAGGCAAAGAUAAACCUUUUUAUAAGGGUAUGACUACCCACCAUGACCUUCCCAGUUAGGAAUUUUAUGAUCAGAUCACCCUUUGAGGUUACUUUCAGUCACUGAGCUUGUGCGUACCCCUUUUUUGUUCACACCUUUCCUCCGUUUUUCAAUGUGUUCCUAUUUCCAUUUGAGACCUCAUCAGAAUGGCCGUUACCAUCCAUAUUUCUACCAACUUUCUGUUCAGGAUUACCCAUGUAUUCUCUAAGACAGGGGUGUCAAACUCAAUUAAAACACGGGCCAUUUGGUGCAACAGG
Long non-coding RNA from Hipposideros armiger (great roundleaf bat), 1608 nucleotides. RefSeq lists it as uncharacterized. The transcript is spliced from 4 exons. The record is from RefSeq and is a predicted model, not a curated record. NCBI's taxonomy places the organism in Eukaryota, Metazoa, Chordata, Mammalia, Chiroptera, Hipposideridae.